This 497-nucleotide ribosomal RNA is filed under the name uncultured bacterium. Its description in RNAcentral is "partial 16S ribosomal RNA". It matches the Rfam family "Bacterial small subunit ribosomal RNA", at positions 28 to 507 of the family's 1533-position model. The record is from RNAcentral.
GAUGAACGCUGGCGGCGUGCCUAAUACAUGCAAGUCGAGCGAACAGACGAGGAGCUUGCUCCUCUGACGUUAGCGGCGGACGGGUGAGUAACACGUGGAUAACCUACCUAUAAGACUGGGAUAACUUCGGGAAACCGGAGCUAAUACCGGAUAAUAUAUUGAACCGCAUGGUUCAAUAGUGAAAGACGGUUUUGCUGUCACUUAUAGAUGGAUCCGCGCCGCAUUAGCUAGUUGGUAAGGUAACGGCUUACCAAGGCAACGAUGCGUAGCCGACCUGAGAGGGUGAUCGGCCACACUGGAACUGAGACACGGUCCAGACUCCUACGGGAGGCAGCAGUAGGGAAUCUUCCGCAAUGGGCGAAAGCUUGACGGAGCAACGCCGCGUGAGUGAUGAAGGUCCUCGGAUCGUAAAACUCUGUUAUUAGGGAAGAACAAAUGUGUAAGUAACUAUGCACGUCUUGACGGUACCUAAUCAGAAAGCCACGGCUAACUACGUG